AUGAUUCGCACUACUCAACCAAUUAUAGACCCUCUUUGUCUGCCUCUCUCUCUCUCUCUUCCUCCCUAUCUAUCUGCUUCUCUCUCUCUCUCUCUUUCUCCCUAUCUAUCUGCUUCCCUCUCCCUAUCUCUCUUCCUCCCUAUCUAUCUGCUUCUCUCUCUCUCUCUUCCUCCCUAUCUAUCUGCUUCUCUCUCUCUCUUCCUCCCUAUCUAUCUGCUUCCCUCUCUCUCUCUCUCUCUUCCUCCCUAUCUCUCUGUUUCUCUCUCUCUCUUCCUCCCUAUCUAUCUGCUUCUCUCUCUCUCUCUUCCUCCCUAUCUAUCUGCUUCCCUCUCUCUCUCUCUUCCUCCCUAUCUAUCUGCUUCUUUCUCUCUCUCUCUUCCUCCCUAUCUAUCUGCUUCUCUCUCUCUCUCUCUCUCUUCCUCCCUAUCUAUCUGCUUCCCUCUCUCUCUCUUCCUCCCUAUCUAUCUGCUUCUCUCUAUCUCUCUCUCUUCCUCCCUAUCUAUCUGCUUCUCUCUCUCUCUUCCUCCCUAUCUAUCUGCUUCUCUCUCUCUCUCUUCCUCCCUAUCUAUCUGCUUCCCUCUCUCUCUCUCUCUCUUCCUCCCUAUCUCUCUGUUUCUCUCUCUCUCUUCCUCCCUAUCUAUCUGCUUCUCUCUCUCUCUCUCUCUUCCUCCCUAUCUAUCUGCUUCCCUCUCUCUCUCUUCCUCCCUAUCUAUCUGCUUCUCUCUCUCUCUCUCUUCCUCCCUAUCUAUCUGCUUCUCUCUCUCUCUCUCUCUCUCUCUCUCUUCCUCCCUAUCUAUAUGCUUCUCUCUCUCUCUCUCUUCCUCCCUAUCUAUCUGCUUCUCUCUCUCUCUCUUCCUCCCUAUCUAUCUGCUUCUCUCUCUCUCUCUCUUCCUCCCUAUCUAUCUGCUUCUCUCUAUCUCUCUUCCUCCCUAUCUAUCUGCUCCUCUCUCUCUCUCUCUCUCUCUCUUCCUCCCUAUCUAUCUGCCUCUCUCUCUCUUCCUCCCUAUCUAUCUGCAUUUCUCUCUCUCUCUCUUCCUCCCUAUCUAUCUGCUUCUCUCUCUCUCUUCCUCCCUAUCUAUCUGCUUCUCUCUCUCUCUUCCUCCCUAUCUAUCUGCUUCUCUCUCUCUCUCUCUCUCUCUCUCUCGCUUCCUCCCUAUCUAUCUGCUUCUCUCUCUCUCUCUUCCUCCCUAUCUAUCUGCCUCUCUCUCUCUUCCUCCCUAUCUAUCUGCGUUUCUCUCUCUCUCUCUUCCUCCCUAUCUAUCUGCUUCUCUCUCUCUCUUCCUCCCUAUCUAUCUGCUUCUCUCUCUCUCUUCCUCCCUAUCUAUCUGCUUCUCUCUCUCUCUCUCUCUCUCGCUUCCUCCCUAUCUAUCUGCUUCUCUCUCUCUCUCUUCCUCCCUAUCUAUCUGCUUCUCUCUCUCUCUUCCUCCCUAUCUAUCUGCUUCCCUCUCUCUCUAUCCCCCUCUCUCUCGCUCUCUCUCUCUCUUCCUCCCUCUCUCUCUCUCUCCCUCUCUUCCUCCCCCUCUCUCUCGCUCUCUCUCUCUUCCUCCCUCUCUCUCUCUCUCUCUCUCUCUCUUCCUCCCUCCCUCUCCCUCUCUCUCGCUCUGCCUCGUUCUCAAUUCUUUCAAUUUAAUUUGCUUUAUUGUCAUGACGUAA
RNAcentral lists this long non-coding RNA (1653 nucleotides) under Oncorhynchus mykiss (rainbow trout). RNAcentral's name for it is "lncRNA (ENSOMYG00000069787.1)". Lineage: Eukaryota; Metazoa; Chordata; Actinopteri; Salmoniformes; Salmonidae. The record is from RNAcentral.